GUCCACGCCGUAAACGAUGGAUACUAGCUGUUGGGAGUAAUCUCAUUGGCUAAGCGAAAGUGAUAAGUAUCCCACCUGGGGGAGUACGUUCGCAAGAAUGAAACUCAAAGGAAUUGACGGGGGCCCGCACAAGCGGUGGAGCAUGUGGUUUAAUUCGAUGAUACGCGAGGAACCUUACCAAGGCUUAAAUGUAGAUUGACCGUUUUGGAAACAGAACUUUCGCAAGACAAUUUACAAGGUGCUGCAUGGUUGUCGU
RNAcentral lists this ribosomal RNA (256 nucleotides) under uncultured bacterium. RNAcentral describes it as "partial 16S ribosomal RNA". It matches the Rfam family "Bacterial small subunit ribosomal RNA", at positions 793 to 1055 of the family's 1533-position model. The record is from RNAcentral.